GUUAAAACAUUUUUGUGUGUGUGUGAGCAUUAAUCAGACACGUGUUCUGUGUGUUCUGCUCCAGAUGAUGUAAUAUUCCUCUGUUUUUCUCCUUACUUCAUGUGUAUUCCUCUCCUUCCCUCCCAGACUGGAAGGUUCUGAAGAACAGGAAGUUUCUGUGCUCUGUGAACGAACAGAAUAUUCACACCAAGAGCAAACCGGUGAUUCAGGAAAUAGACCCUAAAAAUACUAACACACCUCCAGAACCAGCCAAAUGGCCAGAGUUCUGUCUGCUAGUGGAACCCCCUAGGUGAUCCAGAGUUUCUGAUAGCAGAGAUACAGUUGCCUGGAGUUUUGAGACACAAGCCCAGUCCUAAACACAUCCCUCUCCUUCUAUACUCUGUGUUUAAAAACCUCUUAAGGAUCAGGCCCUUUUCAAUUUCUGCCUAAAUUGACAUACCCAAAUUUAACUG
Salvelinus sp. IW2-2015 is the source of this 452-nucleotide long non-coding RNA. RefSeq lists it as uncharacterized. The record is from RefSeq and is a predicted model, not a curated record. Lineage: Eukaryota; Metazoa; Chordata; Actinopteri; Salmoniformes; Salmonidae.